GAUGAAGAACGUAGCGAAAUGCGAUAAGUAAUGUGAAUUGCAGAAUUCCGUGAAUCAUCGAAUCUUUGAACGCACAUUGCGCCCGCCAGCACUCUGGCGGGCAUGCCUGUCCGAGCGUCGCCCCCACCCGUCAGCACCGCUGUGUUGGGGCCCGGCGGCAACGCCGGCCCCGAAAGUCAGAGGCAGGGGCCCCCCCGCGCGCCGAGCGUAGUGCCGAAACGCCGCUCCGGCCCUGGGGGGGGCUUCCCUCGCCGGCCCGCACGCAGUACCCAGACGACCUCGGAUCAGGUAGGAAUACCCGCUGAACUUAAGCAUAUCAAUAAGCGGAGGA
Molecule: unclassified non-coding RNA, 331 nt
Filed under: soil metagenome
Description: partial contains 5.8S ribosomal RNA, internal transcribed spacer 2, and large subunit ribosomal RNA
Rfam family: 5.8S ribosomal RNA (bases 1-120)
Source: RNAcentral